This 338-nucleotide long non-coding RNA is filed under the name Elaeis guineensis (African oil palm). Its description in RNAcentral is "long non-coding RNA (EGUI_LNC047248)". The record is from RNAcentral. Lineage: Eukaryota; Viridiplantae; Streptophyta; Magnoliopsida; Arecales; Arecaceae.
ACCCUUUCCCUUCCUCACCUCCAAUAGCCCCCGAGCCACCAUAGCUAAGCACCGCCACCAUUUCUCCUCUUAAAAGUUAUUGAUUUUUGAUUUUUCUUCUCCUAUUUCAUCUUCGAUCAACCUCUUUUGUCGCUGAAAUUCUCCACCGUCGAUCGUGACCCACCACUGCCAUCACCUCUGGUAAGCUCUCCUCCCUUCCUUCCCUUCAUUUUGACCUUGAGUGCUGAAGCCUUGGUAGUAAGGGGCAACAUCUCUUUUCUCUCUCUCCACUCCCCUAGGCAUGGUCGGACCAUCAGCACUUCAGCCGCGCCACCAUUGUCGGCCACCACCAACCCCAC